RNAcentral lists this ribosomal RNA (513 nucleotides) under Bacillus thuringiensis. Its description in RNAcentral is "bacterial SSU rRNA". It matches the Rfam family "Bacterial small subunit ribosomal RNA", at positions 36 to 523 of the family's 1533-position model. The record is from RNAcentral. Lineage: Bacteria; Bacillati; Bacillota; Bacilli; Caryophanales; Bacillaceae.
CCUGGGGGCGUGCCUUAUACAUGCAAGUCGAGCGAAUGGAUUAAGAAGCUUGCUCCUUAUGAAGUUAGCGGCGGACGGGUGAGUAACACGUGGGUAACCUGCCCAUAAGACUCGGGAUAACUCCGGGAAACCGGGGCUAAUACCGGAUAACAUUUUGAACUGCAUGGUUCGAAAUUGAAAGGCGGCUUCGGCUGUCACUUAUGGAUGGACCCGCGUCGCAUUAGCUAGUUGGUGAGGUAACGGCUCACCAAGGCAACGAUGCGUAGCCGACCUGAGAGGGUGAUCGGCCACACUGGGACUGAGACACGGCCCAGACUCCUACGGGAGGCAGCAGUAGGGAAUCUUCCGCAAUGGACGAAAGUCUGACGGAGCAACGCCGCGUGAGUGAUGAAGGCUUUCGGGUCGUAAAACUCUGUUGUUAGGGAAGAACAAGUGCUAGUUGAAUAAGCUGGCACCUUGACGGUACCUAACCAGAAAGCCACGGCUAACUACGUGCAAAGCCCCCCGCAGUUA